AUACGGAGGGGACGAGCGUUAUUCGGAAUCACUGGGCGUAAAGGACGCGUAGGCGGGUUAUUAAGUCGGGUGUGAAAUCCAAUGGCUCAACCAUUGAACUGCAUUCGAAACUGAUAACCUAGAGUAUGGAAGGGGCAGGUGGAAUUAGUGGUGUAGGGGUAAAAUCCGUAGAUAUCACUAGGAAUACCGAAAGCGAAGGCGACCUGCUGGGACAUUACUGACGCUGAGGCGUGAAAGCGUGGGGAGCAAACAGGAUUAGAAACCCCGGUAGUCC
This 274-nucleotide ribosomal RNA is filed under the name uncultured bacterium. RNAcentral's name for it is "partial 16S ribosomal RNA". It matches the Rfam family "Bacterial small subunit ribosomal RNA", at positions 523 to 796 of the family's 1533-position model. The record is from RNAcentral.